GAGGGUAUAGCUCAAGCGGUAGAGCGCAUGCUUAGCAUGCACAAGGUCCUGGGUUCAGUCCCCAGUACCUCCU
RNAcentral lists this transfer RNA (73 nucleotides) under Camelus bactrianus (Bactrian camel). It matches the Rfam family "tRNA". From Rfam's summary of the family: Transfer RNA (tRNA) molecules are approximately 80 nucleotides in length. Their secondary structure includes four short double-helical elements and three loops (D, anti-codon, and T loops). RNAcentral also lists the same sequence under 2 other names. The record is from Rfam by way of RNAcentral. Lineage: Eukaryota; Metazoa; Chordata; Mammalia; Artiodactyla; Camelidae.